Molecule: long non-coding RNA, 224 nt
Organism: Xyrauchen texanus (razorback sucker)
Lineage: Eukaryota; Metazoa; Chordata; Actinopteri; Cypriniformes; Catostomidae
Exons: 3
Source: RefSeq, a predicted model, not a curated record
UUUGGGGUAAGGGUUGGUUUGGAUAAGGGGUUAGAGUUAGGUUUUGGGGUAAGGGUUGGUUAGGAUAAGGGGUUAGAGUCAGGUUUUGGGGUAAGGGUUGGGAUAAGGGGUUAGAGUUAGGUUUUGGGGUAAGGGUUGGUUAGGAUAAGGGGUUAGAGUCAGGUUUUGGGGUAAGGGUUAGGAUAAGGGGUUAGAGUCAGCUUUUGGGGUAAAGGUUGGUUAGG